UACGGAGGGGGCUAGCGUUGUUCGGAAUUACUGGGCGUAAAGGGCUCGUAGGCGGCCAACUAAGUCAUACGUGAAAUCCCUCAGCUUAACUGGGGAACUGCGUGUGAUACUGGAUGGCUUGGAUUUGGGAGAGGGAUGCGGAAUUCCAGGUGUAGCGGUGAAAUGCGUAGAUAUCUGGAGGAACACCGGUGGCGAAGGCGGCAUCCUGGACCGGUAUUGACGCUGAGGCGCGAAAGCCAGGGGAGCAAACGGG
This 253-nucleotide ribosomal RNA is filed under the name uncultured bacterium. RNAcentral describes it as "partial 16S ribosomal RNA". It matches the Rfam family "Bacterial small subunit ribosomal RNA", at positions 524 to 776 of the family's 1533-position model. The record is from RNAcentral.